Molecule: transfer RNA, 81 nt
Filed under: Jimgerdemannia flammicorona
Lineage: Eukaryota; Fungi; Mucoromycota; Endogonomycetes; Endogonales; Endogonaceae
Description: tRNA-Trp
Rfam family: tRNA
About the family: Transfer RNA (tRNA) molecules are approximately 80 nucleotides in length. Their secondary structure includes four short double-helical elements and three loops (D, anti-codon, and T loops).
Source: RNAcentral
AUCCCGUUCGUCCAAUGGUAAGGACAGUCGAUUCCACUUUGUGUGGAUCGACAGAUGUGGGUUCAAAUCCUACGCGGGAUC